GACGAACGCUGGCGGCGUGCCUAAUACAUGCAAGUAGAACGCUGAAGAGAGGAGCUUGCUCUUCUUGGAUGAGUUGCGAACGGGUGAGUAACGCGUAGGUAACCUGCCUUGUAGCGGGGGAUAACUAUUGGAAACGAUAGCUAAUACCGCAUAACAAUGGAUGACACAUGUCAUUUAUUUAAAAGGGCCAUUUGCUCACUAACAAGAUGAACUUCGUUUGAUUAGCUAGUAGGUGAGGUAAUGGCUCACCUAGGCGACGAUACAUAGCCGACCGGAGAGGGUGAGCGGCCACACUGGGACUGAGACACGGCCCAGACUCCUACGGGAGGCAGCAGUAGGGAAUCUUCGGCAAUGGGGGCAACCCUGACCGAGCAACGCCGCGUGAGUGAAGAAGGUUUUCGGAUCGUAAAGCCCUGUUGUAAGUCAAGAACGGGUGUGAGAGUGGAAAGUUCACACUGUGACGGUAGCUUACCAGAAAGGGACGGCUAACUACGUG
This 496-nucleotide ribosomal RNA is filed under the name uncultured bacterium. Its description in RNAcentral is "partial 16S ribosomal RNA". It matches the Rfam family "Bacterial small subunit ribosomal RNA", at positions 28 to 507 of the family's 1533-position model. The record is from RNAcentral.